This 927-nucleotide ribosomal RNA is filed under the name bacterium enrichment culture clone AOM-SR-B72. Its description in RNAcentral is "bacterial SSU rRNA". It matches the Rfam family "Bacterial small subunit ribosomal RNA", at positions 8 to 932 of the family's 1533-position model. The record is from RNAcentral.
AGAGUUUGAUCCUGGCUCAGAUUGAACGCUGGCGGUAUGCUUAACACAUGCAAGUCGAACGGUAACAGGCCUUCGGGCGCUGACGAGUGGCGGACGGGUGAGUAACGCGUAGGAAUCUGCCUCAUAGUGGGGGACAACUUGGGGAAACUCAAGCUAAUACCGCAUACGCCCUACGGGGGAAAGCGGGGGACCUUCGGGCCUCGCGCUAUGAGAUGAGCCUGCGUUAGAUUAGCUAGUUGGUGGGGUAAAGGCCUACCAAGGCGACGAUCUAUAGCUGGUCUGAGAGGACGAUCAGCCACACUGGGACUGAGACACGGCCCAGACUCCUACGGGAGGCAGCAGUGGGGAAUAUUGGACAAUGGGCGCAAGCCUGAUCCAGCAAUACCGCGUGUGUGAAGAAGGCCUGAGGGUUGUAAAGCACUUUCAAUUGGGAGGAAAACCUGUCGGUCAAUACCCGGCAGCUUGACAUUACCUUUAGAAGAAGCACCGGCUAACUCCGUGCCAGCAGCCGCGGUAAUACGGAGGGUGCGAGCGUUAAUCGGAAUUACUGGGCGUAAAGCGUGCGUAGGCGGUUAUUUAAGUCAGAUGUGAAAGCCCCGGGCUUAACCUGGGAACUGCAUUUGAUACUGGGUAACUAGAGUUUAGUAGAGGAGAGUGGAAUUUCAGGUGUAGCGGUGAAAUGCGUAGAGAUCUGAAGGAACACCAGUGGCGAAGGCGACUCUCUGGACUAAAACUGACGUUGAGGUACGAAAGCGUGGGUAGCAAACAGGAUUAGAUACCCUGGUAGUCCACGCCGUAAACGAUGUCAACUAGCCGUUGGGCCUUUUAACAGGCUUAGUGGCGCAGCUAACGCAUUAAGUUGACCGCCUGGGGAGUACGGCCGCAAGGUUAAAACUCAAAUGAAUUGACGGGGGCCCGCACAAGCGG